Molecule: ribosomal RNA, 493 nt
Filed under: uncultured bacterium
Lineage: Bacteria
Description: bacterial SSU rRNA
Rfam family: Bacterial small subunit ribosomal RNA
Source: RNAcentral
GAUUAUGGCUCAGGAUGAACGCUGGCGGCGUGCUUAACACAUGCAAGUCGAACGAAGCAUUCCAACUCUCGGAGGAAGAAAUGACUGAGUGGCGGACGGGUGAGUAACGCGUGGGUAACCUGCCUUAUACAGGGGGAUAACAGUUAGAAAUGACUGCUAAUACCGCAUAACCCGCUAGUACCGCAUGGUACAGACGGAAAAGAUUUAUCGGUAUAAGAUGGACCCGCGUCUGAUUAGCUAGUUGGUGAGGUAAUGGCUCACCAAGGCGACGAUCAGUAGCCGGCUUGAGAGAGUGAACGGCCACAUUGGGACUGAGACACGGCCCAAACUCCUACGGGAGGCAGCAGUGGGGAAUAUUGCACAAUGGGGGAAACCCUGAUGCAGCAACGCCGCGUGAAGGAAGAAGUAUUUCGGUAUGUAAACUUCUAUCAGCAGGAAAGAAAAUGACGGUACCUGACUAAGAAGCCCCGGCUAACUACGUGCCAGCCGCAGC